UCCGAGCGUUGACAAUGACCGCAAGACAAACACCGGUUGAGAUAUGGCGGUCUAGAAAUGAUCAUUAAUUUCAAGAUUGGAAUGGAAUAUGGUAAAGAACACAACAUGAAUAUGGUGAUAAACAGAUUGCUAUAGAACCAAAAACUAUGGGAGCUUGGGGAUUGUGCAGAAUAAGGGGAAUGUAUGAGAUUGUCAAAUGCUACAUCAACAAAAUGGUUGAAAGUGCAGUUGGUUAUUCUAAAUGCCGUUAAAAAUAUGUGGAUAUUGAGAAGCGGAAGUCAGAGCACCUGGAACGUGUUAGUAUCCUCAACAAUGACGGACGCCAGAUGGCAGUUAGCAAGUUAAGACAUUUUGUUUAUAUUUCUUUUUUCAAUUUAGUUUAUUGUAGACACAUAUUAGCUAUGAGAUGGGAGGCACACAUAUGCAGUCUUUGAUGAAUCAUGGUCCGAUCUUACCGAAGUUCUCUAUUCUAGGUACUUGACCAUAUUGUACACUAUAUAUGUACAUCUGUGUAUGCAAGGUUGUUUAACGGGUCGAACCCAACACGAAUCAAAACUAAAAAAGUAUCGAUGAUAGUGUCAUUUUCUCAUGGCUACAAUCAGUUUGUUAAUAUUGCAAACAAUCGCUUUGUAUCAA
Helianthus annuus (common sunflower) is the source of this 636-nucleotide long non-coding RNA. RefSeq lists it as uncharacterized. The transcript is spliced from 3 exons. The record is from RefSeq and is a predicted model, not a curated record. NCBI's taxonomy places the organism in Eukaryota, Viridiplantae, Streptophyta, Magnoliopsida, Asterales, Asteraceae.